AAGGACCAUCUAAUGAUGCGUAUAAAUUCUAUCGAAAGGUUCCAGAGUAGGCGCUACAACGCCGAAAUGACCUUCUCACCCUUGUGUACUCACUAUGUUGCUUUGGCGGGUCGACCUGGUUCCGACCCAGGCGGCCGGCGCGCCCAGCCUUAACUGGCCAGGACGCCCGGCUAAGUGCCCGCCAGUAUACAAAACUCAAGAAUUCAUUUUGUGAAGUCCUGAUAUAUCAUUUAAUUGAUUAAAACUUUCAACAACGGAUCUCUUGGUUCUGGCAUCGAUGAAGAACGCAGCGAAAUGCGAUAAGUAAUGUGAAUUGCAGAAUUCAGUGAAUCAUCGAAUCUUUGAACGCACAUUGCGCCCUCUGGUAUUCCGGAGUGCAUGCCUGUUCGAGCGUCAUUUCAACCCUCUAGCUCUGCUUGGUAUUGGGCAACGUCCGCUGCCGGACGUGCCUUGAAGACCUCGGCGACGGCGUCCUAGCCUCGAGCGUAGUAAUUAAAUAUCUCGCUUUGGAGUGCUGGGCGACGGCCGCCGGACAAUCGACCUUCGGUCUAUUUUUCAAAGGUUGACCCUCGAUCAGGUAGGGAUACCGCUGAACUUUAGC
This 601-nucleotide ribosomal RNA is filed under the name Phyllosticta capitalensis. RNAcentral's name for it is "eukaryotic LSU rRNA". The stretch from base 243 to 396 matches the Rfam family "5.8S ribosomal RNA". The record is from RNAcentral. Lineage: Eukaryota; Fungi; Ascomycota; Dothideomycetes; Botryosphaeriales; Phyllostictaceae.